CCGCCUCCUUGGACUCUUGGGGUCAGACGUCACCCAGGGAGGGACUAUUUAGCUGGCUGGAGUUCUCAACAGCCUCACUACAUGCAGCCUUUCACACACUAUUCUUCGAUCCCCAACAACUAUUAAGCAGGAAAGACAGCGGUGACCUUGGCUCCACAACUAGUGUUCCCAGACCGCCUCCAGGAUGUCAGCUAAAGCCAUAGAAAGCGGGGAAGGCGGUGCCUUGGAUGCCACCCGGCCAGAAUUGCUGUCGGAAGAGGAAGAAGAACCUUCCCAGUCAAGCAAUCAGGCCUCUGAUGGCUCUUCUCCUGGGAAGACACCACAGGGGCCACAUCAGGGGCCUCAUCAGGGACCAGAUGGCUCUGCCUCUGACCCCAGAGAUCCACCCAAGUCGAAAGGCAGCAAUUUCUACGAUUAUGCAGGCAAGACUGCCGCAGCCGUGAUCGGAGGAGCCCUGGCCGUGGGGUCUGUUCCCGCGGUGCUGGGCGCCAUGGGCUUCACCGGGGCUGGAAUCGCCGCCUCCUCCAUCGCGGCCAAGAUGAUGUCAGCGGCCGCCAUGGCCAAUGGAGGCGGAGUUGCCGCUUGAAGCGUGGUGGCCACUCUCCAGUCCGUGGGGGCAGCUGGACUUUCCACAUCAUCCAACAUCCUCCUGGGCUCUGCUGGGUCAGCAUAUGGGGUGAAGCUGUGGGGUGUAAUAAAGAAGCUCUCUUCUUCAGCGGGAUCCAGUACUGAAGAAGAGAGGGGUUCCCAUGCUGCAGAUGACUCUCCAGCGCCUCAGGAUGUCAGUCCCGCAAAUGACAAGCCCUCUUCUUCCCAAAAUUCUUCAAAGAAUCAUAAGAAAUAACAACAACAACAACAACAAAAAGAAAUAAAAACAAGAUGCUUUGACCUUU
Cervus elaphus (red deer) is the source of this 893-nucleotide RNA transcript. It is a transcript of the gene named interferon alpha-inducible protein 27-like protein 2, with no coding region annotated. NCBI's taxonomy places the organism in Eukaryota, Metazoa, Chordata, Mammalia, Artiodactyla, Cervidae. The transcript is spliced from 6 exons. The record is from RefSeq and is a predicted model, not a curated record.